Molecule: ribosomal RNA, 406 nt
Filed under: uncultured bacterium
Lineage: Bacteria
Description: partial 16S ribosomal RNA
Rfam family: Bacterial small subunit ribosomal RNA
Source: RNAcentral
AUUGAACGCUGGCGGCAGGCCUAACACCUGCAAGUCGAACGAGUGGCGGACGGGUGAGUAAUGUCUGGGAAACUGCCCGAUGGAGGGGGAUAACUAAUGGAAACGGUAGCUAAUACCGCAUACCAUCGGAUGUGCCCAUAUGGGAUUAGCUAGUAGGUGGGGUAACGGCUCACCUAGGCGACGGUCACUAGCUGGACUGAGAGGAUGCCCAGCCACACUGGAACUAAGAUACGGCCCAAACUCCUACGGGAGGCAGCAGUGGGGAAUAUUACACAAUGGGGGACACGCUGAUGCAGCAACGCCGCGUGCGGGAUGACGGCCUUCGGGUUGUAAACCGCUUUCAGCCAUUACGCGGUAGUGGCAGAAGAAGCACCGGCUAACUACGUGCCAGCAGCCGCGGUAAUUC